Molecule: long non-coding RNA, 647 nt
Organism: Panonychus citri (citrus red mite)
Lineage: Eukaryota; Metazoa; Arthropoda; Arachnida; Trombidiformes; Tetranychidae
Exons: 3
Source: RefSeq, a predicted model, not a curated record
UUUUUCCAUUCUAAUUACUGUUAACCCUUUUAUCUAAUUUUUUUUGUGUUAAUUUUAAUUGUUUGUGGAUUAAAAUUAAUUUAUUCUCUUUUCUGGUUCGAGAACUACUUGCUCCCAGCCUAUUAUUUAGUGAAAAGAACGAUCAAAAUCAACGAAAUCAUAAUGAAAAUUGAAAGUAAUCAAUUUUUCUCCAUCUUAGAUUCUUACUGAUUGUACAUAAUUAAAUUGUCCUAGUUCAUUUAUUGGGACAAUUAUGGAAGCUAAUUUUUCCGUCUUGACCUGAAAGCUGAAAAGUGAACUUGCUGUGAAAUAAAUGAAUUUGGUGUUCACCAUGGUAAAAAACAAAUUCUCUCAGUUUUAAUGGUCUUCAAUGUGUAUUUAUCCGAUUCUUUUACUUGUUUUUUGUUUUUAAUUCACCGAAAAUUCAAAAGCAUGUUAACAAUUAAUCUUUUGACAAAUGAUAUGAUUGAUUUGCUUUUAAAUUGUGACUUUCUUGACGUUUGCAUUGCAGUUUGUUUCAUAUUCGUGGUAAUUAACCAGCUUGAUGGUGGAAGAUUAAAGAAGAUGAUCGAAAUUAUUAUGAAUAAAGCUAAAAACGAGAAGAUAAAUAAUUUAUAACAGUUGAUUUUGCUCCAGCGAGAAACAAA